Molecule: ribosomal RNA, 700 nt
Filed under: uncultured bacterium
Lineage: Bacteria
Description: bacterial SSU rRNA
Rfam family: Bacterial small subunit ribosomal RNA
Source: RNAcentral
AGAGUUUGAUCAUGGCUCAGAUUGAACGCUGGCGGAAUGCUUUACACAUGCAAGUCGAACGGCAGCACGGGAGCUUGCUCCUGGUGGCGAGUGGCGAACGGGUGAGUAAUAUAUCGGAACGUAUCCAAUAAUGGGGGAUAACUAAGCGAAAGCUUGGCUAAUACCGCAUACGCCCUGAGGGGGAAAGCUAGGGAUCUUCGGACCUGGCGUUGAUGGAGCGGCCGAUAUCUGAUUAGCUAGUUGGUGGGGUAAAGGCCCACCAAGGCGACGAUCAGUAGCUGGUCUGAGAGGACGACCAGCCACACUGGAACUGAGACACGGUCCAGACUCCUACGGGAGGCAGCAGUGGGGAAUUUUGGACAAUGGGCGCAAGCCUGAUCCAGCCAUUCCGCGUGAGUGAAGAAGGCCUUCGGGUUGUAAAGCUCUUUCGCAAGGGAAGAAAGAUUACGCUCUAACAUAGUGUGAUUAUGACGGUACCUUGAUAAGAAGCACCGGCUAACUACGUGCCAGCAGCCGCGGUAAUACGUAGGGUGCGAGCGUUAAUCGGAAUUACUGGGCGUAAAGCGUGCGCAGGCUGUUUUGUAAGUCAGAUGUGAAAUCCCCGAGCUCAACUUGGGAACUGCGUUUGAAACUACAAGACUAGAAUAUGUCAGAGGGGGGUAGAAUUCCACGUGUAGCAGUGAAAUGCGUAGAGAUGUGG